ACGAACGCUGGCGGCGUGCUUAACACAUGCAAGUCGAACGGAAAGGCCCCUUUGGGGGUACUCGAGUGGCGAACGGGUGAGUAACACGUGAGUAACCUGCCCUUGACUUCGGGAUAACUUCAGGAAACUGGGUCUAAUACCGGAUAGGAAUCCUUGCUGCAUUGUGGGGGUUGGAAAGCUUCUGCGGUUUUGGAUGGACUCUCGGCUUAUCAGCUUGUUGAUGGGGUAGUGGCUUACCAAGGCUUUGACGGGUAGCCGGCCUGAGAGGGCGACCAGCCACAGUGGGACUGAGAUACGGCCCGGACUCCUACGGGAGGCAGCAGUGGGGAAUAUUGCACAAUGGGCGGAAGCCUGAUGCAGCAACGCCGCGUGCGGGAUGACGGCCUUCGGGUUGUAAACCGCUUUCAGCAGGGGCGAAGCUUGUGGUGACGGUACCUGCAGAAGAAGCACCGGCUAACUACGUG
This 464-nucleotide ribosomal RNA is filed under the name uncultured bacterium. RNAcentral describes it as "partial 16S ribosomal RNA". It matches the Rfam family "Bacterial small subunit ribosomal RNA", at positions 29 to 507 of the family's 1533-position model. The record is from RNAcentral.